Diachasmimorpha longicaudata is the source of this 938-nucleotide long non-coding RNA. RefSeq lists it as uncharacterized. NCBI's taxonomy places the organism in Eukaryota, Metazoa, Arthropoda, Insecta, Hymenoptera, Braconidae. The transcript is spliced from 5 exons. The record is from RefSeq and is a predicted model, not a curated record.
AUUCGUGAAUUACACCGACAAACUUGCGAUCUUCUCGAUAAAACAAUCGGACAUUUUGCUCUCUCGCUGUUGGUAACCAUUACCCUUCACGUAGCUUACAUAACAAAGCAGAUUUACACUAAUUGGUUGUAUUUAUAUGCAAUACCAUUGCACCGGGACUAUUAUUACAUCAUCUCAGUUCUUUACUGGACAAUUUUACCGCUCGUAUCGUUGAUGACUAUCACACGUUGUUGUAGUGUUGUCUGUCUAGAGGGUAACAAAACCGCUCAAGUACUUCACGCUUUGGAAUUACCAAAAAAUCUGGACUGUGAUGAUUGUAUUGUUGAGUUCACUCUCUUUUCACUUCAAAUCCUACAAACGCGAGUUAAAAUCUCAUUAUUUGGGCUUUUUAACAUUGAUCAUCAUUUCUUCCUUCACAUGAUUACUUCAAUAUCGACAUUGCUCGUUAUCCUCUUCCAAUUUGAUAUGCCUUAAUCGAUGUUCAAUCGAUAUAAAAAUCUAUGGAUCGACAUGCUAAUUGUGUCAACGUUUUCAAAUGAAUGUGAAAUCAGCAAUUUCAGGAGUAGAUUCGCGGGGUGUGAUAAGCGUUUGAAAAGCGCAAAAUGUUGGGGUUGCGGAGUGGAAAUGACAGCACUCGGUUUAUAAAGCUGCAAAUAUGUACAUAUGUACAAAGAUAGUUGGAGUUUAGAUUGUCAACAACUCCAGUCAGGAAGAAGAAGUCUCACUUCCACAGGAUCUGAAGAAAAUGGUGAACAGUCAAGAGGUUGCAAUAAAGUAAUUAAAUUCAUAAAAAAUGCAAAACUUUACAAUUACAUUUAAGAAUAAACAUACACCUCACAAUAUUAUAUAUUUCUUUAUAAUUUUUUUACUCUGAUCUGAAGUUAAAUUUAUACUGCUAACAAAGUAAUAUGAUUUUUUAUUUUUUGUAAUAAUUUAUA